GUUUAUAUAGUUGAAUUACAACGGUGGUUUUUCAAGCCACUGGUUUUGGUUAAAAUCCGAGUAUAAACA
Molecule: transfer RNA, 69 nt
Filed under: Nerophis ophidion (straightnose pipefish)
Lineage: Eukaryota; Metazoa; Chordata; Actinopteri; Syngnathiformes; Syngnathidae
Description: tRNA-Glu
Rfam family: tRNA
About the family: Transfer RNA (tRNA) molecules are approximately 80 nucleotides in length.
Source: RNAcentral